CGUGGACCCGUAAUCCGGGUUGCGGACAGUGUCUGGUGGGUAGUUUGACUGGGGCGGUCUCCUCCUAAAGAGUAACGGAGGAGCACGAAGGUUGGCUAAUCCUGGUCGGACAUCAGGAGGUUAGUGCAAUGGCAUAAGCCAGCUUGACUGCGAGCGUGACGGCGCGAGCAGGUGCGAAAGCAGGUCAUAGUGAUCCGGUGGUUCUGAAUGGAAGGGCCAUCGCUCAACGGAUAAAAGGUACUCCGGGGAUAACAGGCUGAUACCGCCCAAGAGUUCAUAUCGACGGCGGUGUUUGGCACCUCGAUGUCGGCUCAUCACAUCCUGGGGCUGAAGUAGGUCCCAAGGGUAUGGCUGUUCGCCAUUUAAAGUGGUACGCGAGCUGGGUUUAGAACGUCGUGAGACAGUUCGGUCCCUAUCUGCCGUGGGCGCUGGAGAACUGAGGGGGGCUGCUCCUAGUACGAGAGGACCGGAGUGGACGCAUCACUGGUGUUCGGGUUGUCAUGCCAAUGGCACUGCCCGGUAGCUAAAUGCGGAAGAGAUAAGUGCUGAAAGCAUCUAAGCACGAAACUUGCCCCGAGAUGAGUUCUCCCUGAGACUUAGAGUCUCCUGAAGGAACGUUGAAGACGACGACGUUGAUAGGCCGGGUGUGUAAGCGCAGCGAUGCGUUGAGCUAACCGGUACUAAUGAACCGUGAGGCUUAACCUUACAACGCCGAAG
This 717-nucleotide ribosomal RNA is filed under the name Salmonella enterica subsp. enterica serovar Kentucky. Its description in RNAcentral is "partial 23S ribosomal RNA". It matches the Rfam family "Bacterial large subunit ribosomal RNA", at positions 2226 to 2925 of the family's 2925-position model. Lineage: Bacteria; Pseudomonadati; Pseudomonadota; Gammaproteobacteria; Enterobacterales; Enterobacteriaceae. The record is from RNAcentral.